AAAAUAGAUACAUUAAUUAUUAUUUAAUAAUUGAACUAAUAGUAUGAUGACACUUGUCCAAAUUGGAUGAGAAUAAUUACUCAAAGUUUCUCGGAAGAGAAACUCAACUCUCCUUCUCUCCUACUUUUUCUCUCUUUUUUCAUACUUUUUUUUUUAAUUAUUAUUUUUUUGGUUGGGUAUCUCAUUGAGAUACUUCCAAUGGAGAUGCUCUUACAUUGGGUAGCAAACAAAUCCAAAAGCAAUGAAUGAAAUGGGAGAAAAGUAGGAAAAGCAAAGAAUUCUUAUUCCUUGAUUCCCUCAUCUCCUCCACUUCUU
RNAcentral lists this small RNA (315 nucleotides) under Arabidopsis thaliana (thale cress). Its description in RNAcentral is "ATSL184140". The record is from RNAcentral. Lineage: Eukaryota; Viridiplantae; Streptophyta; Magnoliopsida; Brassicales; Brassicaceae.